CUGACGUCAUCAUUUCUGUACUAGCAAAGCGGACAUUUUAGAAGUUUGAAGGUAAAGGAGAUUAUCUGACGACUUUCAUAUAAUAUUUUCGUCUCACAAAUUUCAGGUGUAGUUAUGCUGGUUUUAUGAUUUAUAAAGCAUAAUUUAAUUCAAGAACCGGGUCGACCUCGUUUUUGAACUAGUAAAGAAGUUGAGUCCAAUAUUUUUGUAUCGUAUGCGGCGGAGAUCCUGCUGCUAGCCUGUCAUUUUGCAAGUGUGCGUGGUUUUUUAGCCCGUUAAAAGAGGGCCCUUUCAGCUCUCAGACGCCAAAUCUCGUUUUUUUCCCCAUCAAAAUAGACGUAUGGCCCGUGAACGUAUAAAUUAUAACUUGUGUCUUUGUCAUUUUAUUAAAAUAGCUAGAUUAGAAGCCCUUUGGAAUAUUGCUAGGCCAACUAGCUUGCUAGCUAACAAUUGACAACCCCGCGUGCACCAUCAGCUUUGUGAACGUGAAUUAGCCAUUAGCUAGCUAGUUUACGUUACUUGCUAAUCUACUUUGGAGACCAUGGCAGAGUUGUACAUUCGCGUGGGAGAGGAUGAAAACGAAGAGCCAAUGGAGAUCCCAUCUGAGGAUGAUGGCACUGUUUUGCUGUCAACAGUAGCAGCCCAGUUUCCCGGAGCGUGCGGCCUACGUUACAGGAGCCCUGCGUCUCAGUGCAUGCGAGGCGUCCGUCUAGUUGAGGGCAUCUUGCAUGCACCUGAGAAUGACUGGGGUAGUCUGGUGUACGUUGUCAACUACCCAAAAGAUAACAAAAGGAAGAUGGAUGAAAUGGAUGCUGCCUCUGCCGUAAAAAUGAAGAGAGGUAUUGAUAGAACAUCAGACCUCAUUAUCCUUGGGUUGCCAUGGAAAACAUCUGAGCAAGAUUUGAAAGACUACUUCGUCACUUUUGGAGAAGUCAUCAUGGUGCAGGUCAAAAGAGAUGUCAAGACUGGGAACUCAAAGGGGUUUGGCUUUGUUCGGUUCACUGAGUAUGAGACUCAAUCCAAAGUGAUUUCUCAGCGACACAUGAUCGAUGGAAGAUGGUGUGACUGCAAACUACCAAACUCUAAGGUAUUUAAUCAAUAUACAGGGCCUGAUGAGCCCAUGCGCAACUGUAAAAUCUUUGUUGGCCGCUGCACAGAGGACAUUACCACUGAUGAGCUCCGGCAGUUCUUCAUGCAGUAUGGCGAGGUCACCGAUGUCUUCAUUCCCAAACCCUUCCGGGCAUUUGCCUUUGUCACUUUCUCAGAUGACCAGGUUGCCUCAGCAUUGUGCGGAGAGGACCUGAUCAUCAAGGGUGUCAGCGUGCACAUCUCCAACGCCGAGCCUAAGCACAAUAAUAGUAGGCAAAUGAUGGAUCGUGGGGCUGGUGGGUUCGGGGGUCAGGGCUAUGGCGGUGGUCGUGGAGGGCUACCGAGCAGUGGCAGUAGCGGGGUGAAUUUUGGGGGCUUUAGCCUUAACCCAGCCAUGAUGGCCGCCGCUCUGCAAAGUAUGCUGGCUAACCAGCAGGGUCAGACCAAUGUGGCAGGCACCGUCGCCGCUGGGCAGACAAGUGCCACCGGAGAUCAAAGCCAAGCCUAUAGUUCUAGCAGCACCAGUUACAGCAGCUCAGCUAGUCUUGGGUGGGCUGCAGGCACUAACUCUGCCUCCGGCAGUGGGUUCAGCUCUGGCUUUGGCACCUCUAUGGAGUCAAAGUCAUCAGGUUGGGGAAUGUAGAGAGCUUUGAUUGAAAGUCUGAUUUCUAGAUUAAUCUGGUAAGUAUUUUGAGGGGCAAGAAAGAGUUAGUCAUAUCAUAUGUCCCUGCUAUUUAAAACUAUUGCCUUUUUUGUUGUUUUGUUAAAGACAUUAAUUUGGUGUGUGUGUGACUAAUUCUGUAGGAAAUGACUGCAGAGUGGUUGAAGUGUAUAGUUAGUGGUAAACUACUACACGUAGUUUUUUUUUAUUUUCUUGAGAAAAAGUUAUUUUGUAUAAGACAUCAGAUGACUGCAUGCUAAGUAGAUAUUUCUGAGUAUCUCGUAUCACGACAGCCCCCCCCCCCCCCCCUCAACAACGUGUAUAUGGUUAAAUGGUGUUGAAUUGGGUUUGAUGUUUAAUCUUUGUAUGCAGUUGAUUGUAUCUUUGUUUACCGUUUUAUGGAAACGCCUUCAUGAAAAUCUCUUCAACAGUUAACCAACUGUUUUCGAAUUUCCCGGGAAGAAGCCCCUCGUUGGCAGCAAUGUUCGACCAAACUCAGUAUCGGUACCCCUCUUCCCAUGUGUAAAUGCUUUGCCAUCAAAAGACACAGCUUCACUCUGCAUAUACUGUGUUAGACGGGACCUUGGACACGGCUGGCCCAGGUUUACAUCUGAACCCCAGAGUGAAGUCAAUUUUCGGGAAGCUGAAGACUGGAGUUUGCGCUGUUGGUUGGGGGCUGCAGAAUGCCUUAUGCCUGGAAAGGGACUUCUUCACCUCACUAACAAGACCCCUUGGAUCACCCCACUGAAAUUUAUAACAGACCAUUUUCAAAUUUGGCAGAGGUAUUUAGUUUUAUACCUUCAAACAAGUACAUUUUAAAAGCAACGGCAACAUUUAAUUUAUAUAAUGAAUUGCCUGCUAUUUAGUGACCAUGUUUUUGUUGAGUUUUUUUUUUUAAUUACCCGACUCUUUAAAUCUUACUUUUGAAAGAUUCCUUUUGUGUCAUUAAUUUAUCCUUUGUCCCAAUACAGCCAUCAGUUAUUGUAAAUGGAAAGAUUUAAGUUAAAGGCUUUUAUUAAAAGUAUUCCGUAGAUCUCUUUUUCAUGUGGGUCGAAAUGUAAAAUUUUUGUUGGAUUUACGGGACCUUCAAAUUAUUUUAAGGCUGUAAAGGGGAGUGACUUGAGUCAGUUUUACAGGGUUUUAGAUAUGUGGAAAAUUCUUGAACCCGCCAGUGGCAGGUUCAAUGAGUUAGCCAGCUAACUUGCCUAUAUAUUUUGAAAACCUUUGGGCAUGGUCUAAUUGACUCAACAACCGAAAACGCAUAUCUAAGUUUAGCUUCUGGUUCUUUAUCAAAGUUAGCUGGCUAACUAAUUGAACCUACUUUGUAGUAUACCCCUCAUGAAUUGUCACUUGUGUACAGAUAUGGAACUCUUUUUAUUUUUAGUUCACUGAAGUGUAAAAUAAAGUUUUAAAUUUGUAAUAA
Salmo salar (Atlantic salmon) is the source of this 3173-nucleotide non-coding RNA. The record is from RefSeq and is a predicted model, not a curated record. Lineage: Eukaryota; Metazoa; Chordata; Actinopteri; Salmoniformes; Salmonidae.